GCCAGCAUAGUGUAGUGGUGUGAUCACUGGACUGCAACUCUGGAGAUCAGGGUUCAAGUCCUUGCUUGGCC
Molecule: transfer RNA, 71 nt
Filed under: Phrynosoma platyrhinos (Desert horned lizard)
Lineage: Eukaryota; Metazoa; Chordata; Lepidosauria; Squamata; Phrynosomatidae
Description: tRNA-OTHER
Source: RNAcentral